CCCUCCUCGGAUACCUUCUGUUCUGGAUUUCUGGACCCUGACCCAAGCUUCGCCCCACGACCAUCGACUAUUGCCUGCCCCUCAAGCUAAGUUUGCUCCCUCCGAUCUCCUGUGUAUGACCUCUGCCUGGAUAACCGUCUUAGUCUCUUCCUGGAUUCUCUGCUCCACCCGUCCAUUGCACUACAGUGCUGUGUUGGAUGACCACAUCCUGAGCCGCACCAAUAGCUGAAAAUUUAAUUAAACCUUUUUCCUUUGCAA
Long non-coding RNA from Xiphophorus couchianus (Monterrey platyfish), 258 nucleotides. RefSeq lists it as uncharacterized. Lineage: Eukaryota; Metazoa; Chordata; Actinopteri; Cyprinodontiformes; Poeciliidae. The record is from RefSeq and is a predicted model, not a curated record. The transcript is spliced from 2 exons.